Molecule: long non-coding RNA, 357 nt
Filed under: Gossypium barbadense (sea-island cotton)
Lineage: Eukaryota; Viridiplantae; Streptophyta; Magnoliopsida; Malvales; Malvaceae
Description: long non-coding RNA (GBAR_LNC020623)
Source: RNAcentral
CCCAAACAAGACCUUUUUCUUAUUACUUGCCUCGCAGCAACUCUUAUUUUCAGUUUGGUUUUUGUUAAGGAAUGUAUCAACUAUAGCAAGAGCAAUACCUUUUGGUUCUGAGUUUUCAGGUGAGGGGUGUGUGUUAUUAGGCGAGAAGGGUUUUGGGGAUUUGGGAUGGUUUCUGUCCAAGGCAAAGGGGUUACCAAAAGGAAAGAAGGGUUUGUUGUCAAGGAUUGAAGUAGGGCUCUUGAGAGAUUCGGUGUCGGGAAAGGCUUUUGAAGUGAAAGCUUUAAAUCUUGGAGAAUCGAAGAAAGAUGGGUUUGGUUUUGUGCAAUUCUGGGCAGGGGAUGCUUGAGAGCUGAGAUC